Molecule: long non-coding RNA, 1324 nt
Filed under: Bemisia tabaci
Lineage: Eukaryota; Metazoa; Arthropoda; Insecta; Hemiptera; Aleyrodidae
Description: lncRNA ENSASIAIIG002449
Source: RNAcentral
AUUGUCUCGGGACCGUGAAUCAAAACGGCGGAUCAAAAGUUAAUCGGCGAGCUGUGCAGAAACCAAGAGGGCUGGCCUAGUUUUUUUCGUCAGAGGAAGACGGAGACCCAGACACACCGAUAUCCUGCAAAAAUCGCGUACCUACAAUCGAGACCCUUUGCGAAAAGGUGUUUUUUACCUAGCGAGCUAGAACGAGGGAGGGGGGCCUCGCUUCUUUCCACUCUUCUUCAGGGCCCCCCCGUCCCCCUCAUCAUGUUACGCACGGCCGAAAACCCCGCACCGCUGGUUCCUCCUUGCGUCUCUCUCUACUCGGAGGUCCGGCCUUUCUUCAUUUCUCCUCCCCCUCCAGAUCCCCCCUCCAGAGCGCGUGUCCCCCCGAAGAUAAACAAUUAUCACACAUUGUUACGUUCCUCAUCUUUAUCCAGAUAUGAGUCAUCUUUAACUCGCCUAGCCGAGUAUAAAUACUAUAUUGGGGCUCUUGCCGGCUACAUUGAGUCACUUGCUUACUUCACAACAACACGUGAACACCUAACCUCAAAAUGGCUUACAAAUUCGUCGUUCUCGCCGCUGUAUUCGCUGUCGCUACCGCCCAGUACGGUAGCCCGUCUUACAGCUCAUCCUCCUACAGCUCUGGCUCCUACGGCGCCCCCGCCGCCUACAGCGCACCCGCCUCCUACAGCGCUCCUUCCUACAGCGCCCCCGCCUACAAGCCGGCCUACAGUGCCCCAGCUUACAGCGCCCCAUCAUACAGCUCCUCAUACAGCGCCCCAUCUUACUCUGCCCCAUCUUACUCUGCCCCCUCAUACUCCGCCCCAUCCUACAGCGCCCCCUCUUACAGCGCCCCAGCUUACAAGCCAGCUUACUCUGCCCCCUCAUACUCCGCCCCAUCUUACAAGGGUGGUGAGGCUUACUCUUCCCAGAGCGUGCAGCUGUUGAACAAGCCUUCCGGAUACGGCGCCCCAUCUUACUCCGCCCCCUCAUACUCUGCCCCCUCAUACUCUGCCCCCUCAUACUCUGCCCCAUCUUACUCUGCCCCAUCUUACUCUGCCCCAUCCUACUCUGCCCCCUCUUACUCUUCCCCAUCUUACUCUGCCCCAUCUUACUCAUCCUCCUCCUACUCCGCUCCCGCAGCCCCCCACUACGGUUAGACGACGCUUUCACCUCGUUUUUCCAUGACAUCCAAGAGCCAUGUUCACGGUUAACUUAUUUAUUUCAAAUCAUCAUCUUCCAUCAAAGUCAUUUAACUAUUUAUUUAUGUGAUUCAUUGUUACCAAAUUUUGUUACCAUCAAUAAAUCUGUUAAAACAUACAGGCAUUUGAAUUUU